Molecule: ribosomal RNA, 497 nt
Filed under: uncultured bacterium
Lineage: Bacteria
Description: partial 16S ribosomal RNA
Rfam family: Bacterial small subunit ribosomal RNA
Source: RNAcentral
GAUGAACGCCGGCGGCGUGCUUAACACAUGCAAGUCGAACGAAGCACUCUAUUUGAUUUUUUUCGGAAAUGAAGAUUUUGUGACUGAGUGGCGGACGGGUGAGUAACGCGUGGGUAACCUGCCUCAUACAGGGGGAUAACAGUUGGAAACGACUGCUAAUACCGCAUAAGCGCACAGUACUGCAUGGUACAGUGUGAAAAACUCCGGUGGUAUGAGAUGGACCCGCGUCUGAUUAGCUAGUUGGUGGGGUAACGGCCUACCAAGGCGACGAUCAGUAGCCGACCUGGGAGGGUGACCGGCCACAUUGGGACUGAGACACGGCCCAAACUCCUACGGGAGGCAGCAGUGGGGAAUAUUGCACAAUGGGGGAAACCCUGAUGCAGCGACGCCGCGUGAACGAAGAAGUAUUUCGGUAUGUAAAGUUCUAUCAGCAGGGAAGAUAAUGACGGUACCUGACUAAGAAGCACCGGCUAAAUACGUGCCAGCCGCCGCCGUAA